Molecule: ribosomal RNA, 468 nt
Filed under: uncultured bacterium
Lineage: Bacteria
Description: partial 16S ribosomal RNA
Rfam family: Bacterial small subunit ribosomal RNA
Source: RNAcentral
GACGAACGCUGGCGGCGUGCUUAACACAUGCAAGUCGGACGGAAAGGCCCUGCUUUUGUGGGGUGCUCGAGUGGCGAACGGGUGAGUAACACGUGAGUAACCUGCCCUUGACUUUGGGAUAACUUCAGGAAACUGGGGCUAAUACCGGAUAGGAGCUCCUGCUGCAUGGUGGGGGGUGGAAAGUUUCGGCGGUUGGGGAUGGACUCGCGGCUUAUCAGCUUGUUGGUGGGGUAGUGGCUUACCAAGGCUUUGACGGGUAGCCGGCCUGAGAGGGUGACCGGCCACAUUGGGACUGAGAUACGGCCCAGACUCCUACGGGAGGCAGCAGUGGGGAAUAUUGCACAAUGGGCGGAAGCCUGAUGCAGCAACGCCGCGUGCGGGAUGACGGCCUUCGGGUUGUAAACCGCUUUCGCCUGUGACGAAGCGUGAGUGACGGUAAUGGGUAAAGAAGCACCGGCUAACUACGUG